RNAcentral lists this ribosomal RNA (488 nucleotides) under Comamonas sp. B0329. RNAcentral describes it as "bacterial SSU rRNA". It matches the Rfam family "Bacterial small subunit ribosomal RNA", at positions 11 to 496 of the family's 1533-position model. The record is from RNAcentral. Lineage: Bacteria; Pseudomonadati; Pseudomonadota; Betaproteobacteria; Burkholderiales; Comamonadaceae.
GUUUGAUCCUGGCUCAGAUUGAACGCUGGCGGCAUGCUUUACACAUGCAAGUCGAACGGUAACAGGUCUUCGGAUGCUGACGAGUGGCGAACGGGUGAGUAAYACAUCGGAACGUGCCUAGUAGUGGGGGAUAACUACUCGAAAGAGUAGCUAAUACCGCAUGAGAUYUACGGAUGAAAGCAGGGGACCUUCGGGCCUUGUGCUACUAGAGCGGCUGAUGGCAGAUUAGGUAGUUGGUGGGGUAAAGGCUUACCAAGCCUGCGAUCUGUAGCUGGUCUGAGAGGACGACCAGCCACACUGGGACUGAGACACGGCCCAGACUCCUACGGGAGGCAGCAGUGGGGAAUUUUGGACAAUGGGCGAAAGCCUGAUCCAGCAAUGCCGCGUGCAGGAUGAAGGCCCUMGGGUUGUAAACUGCUUUUGUACGGAACGAAAAGCUCUGGGCUAAUACCCCGGAGUCAUGACGGUACCGUAAGAAUAAGCACCGG